GUGCCUAAUAGAAAAAAAAAAAAAACAACAACAUAGGGCAGGUUGAGCUAAAGAGUAUAUGUACAUACGUUACAUUUUACACACUUCUGUCUUCAUUCCCUUUCCUUAGAUGACAUCUUAAGAAUACUGUGUCUCCUCCUGGCAUUCACUUUUUUACUCCAUAAUGAAGACCUAUAAUUACCUAUAAUUAAGAUAGUUAUGUAAUCGUAUAAUUUUAAAUAAAGUUGACCAUAUGCAUUCACUAAGAUUACUCUCAUAAAUCAUGUUGCUACCCAUACCAAUUGGAAGAAAAUGGGUUCGUUCUCGUAAGUUGUGCACAUCAGUUGUCUGACUGUCAAGACACCCGAACAGUGAAAACAAGUAUGCUUUAUGGAUAUAUUUACUAAGAGUGAGAAGAGGUUGAAAAAAUAAUUUAUCUGUGCAUUGCCUUUUUCAGAGAUUCAACAAGAAUGACACUUGUUCCGAUACUCUUUAGACAUUAAAAAUCAAUAAUUCAAUAAGCGUGUAUUGCCAAUAUAUCAUAAAUGUAAGGAUGAUGAAUGAAGUCCAUGUGAAUUGCCUACAGACACAUUUAAUUUGUAAUCUAGAAGGAAAGUUUUGCAUUUGAUUUUUUAUUUUGUCUUACAAAUACCUGAAGAGAUCAAGCUACUUCUCUUCCUCUGGAAUGCUGCUUUCCAGAAAAGGACAUAUUUUAUUGAAUACCAUGAUAAGGAAUUAGGUCAAAAUCCUACAGCUUCUUUAAGAUGUAAAUCUACUGUCUGAGACAAUAUGAAACUCUAUGUAAGUUAAUAUUAACGAUCAAAUAGAAAUUUAUAAUGUAAAUCAUUUAGAUUAUCCAAACUACAUCAGGAUUUAUUUCUCUUGGCUUUUAAAUCUUAACAUGGCCUCAAAUGGAUCUUUCUUAGAGCCAAUGUUACAUACUGAACUGCUUAUAAACAUUGAUAUUCUGACCUAUAUAUGACUUGAGAUAUUCUACAUGAAGUUUGUAGCUAUUCAUAAGUAUACUUGCCCUCUAUUGGAAAACUGUAAAAGCAGAAUAGAUAGAUAGAUAGAUAGAUACUAAGAAUUGUAUAAACCUGGUUCGAAUCAUUGACCUGACAUCUAAUACCCCUGUGGCCUUUCACCUUGGCUAAAUUGUUAGGUAUUCUAUUCUUUUUGAUGCAGUUGGAAUUGGGAUUGUUUGCUUAAUCUCUCUUUCUGAUAGGCCAUUAUUAGUGUAUAGAAAUACAAUAGAUUUCUGUAUAUUUUGUGUCUUCACCAUAUGAUGAAUUUAUUCAUUCUAACAGUUUUUUAGUGGAUUCCUUAGGUUUAUCUAUAUAUAAUGUCAUCUACAAAUAAAUAAUGGUUUUAUUUCUUUCCAGUAUGGAUGCCUUUUUCUUGCCUAAUUGCUCUCAGUAGGACUGCCAAUACUAUGUUGGAAAAAAGUGGCAAGACUAGGUAAGCAUUCUUAUAUUGUUCCUGAUCUUUGAGGAAAAGCUUUCAGCUUUUCACCCUUAAGUAUGAUAUUAGCUGGAGGUUUGUCAUAUGUGGCCUUUAUUAUGUUAAGUUACAUUUUUUUACAUGACUUUGAUUCAGAGUUUUAAUAAAAAUGCAUGUUGAAUUUUUGUCAA
Molecule: long non-coding RNA, 1610 nt
Organism: Neofelis nebulosa (Clouded leopard)
Lineage: Eukaryota; Metazoa; Chordata; Mammalia; Carnivora; Felidae
Exons: 2
Source: RefSeq, a predicted model, not a curated record